This is a long non-coding RNA of Mugil cephalus (flathead mullet), 309 nucleotides long. RefSeq lists it as uncharacterized. Lineage: Eukaryota; Metazoa; Chordata; Actinopteri; Mugiliformes; Mugilidae. The record is from RefSeq and is a predicted model, not a curated record. The transcript has 3 exons.
CCGAGGAGAGGAAGACGUGCGCAGGCAGCUCGACCAGGCAGAGUCCCCAUCAGACGGCGGGUCAAGGACCAUUGAGACCCAACCCCCCUGUUCCCGAUCUCCAGUUAACAUCACAACUGACACACAAAGACCUUUGGAACGUGUCUCCCAGGUGCAUGGUUCUGGAGUUCUUUUGUGCAUGCCGCGGUACUGGUUACCGCCAUAGAGUGCUGCCAUAUGGGGUGCCGUUUGUAAAGCCGCUCACACUGAAAAUAAAAGCAACAUUUUGUCACAUUUAGCUUCAAACAAUAUCUAACAACAAAAAACUGG